GGGGGCGAAAUGGUUUCGACGGGGAUCGCGGAAGCGGGAUAAGCGAGCCGAAGCCCCGUGCUUCGUUAAAAACGGGAACUGUCUAAAAUAACUGACAACAAUCACACUCAGCUCGCAGCUGCAU
Molecule: transfer-messenger RNA, 124 nt
Filed under: Oscillospiraceae bacterium
Lineage: Bacteria; Bacillati; Bacillota; Clostridia; Eubacteriales; Oscillospiraceae
Description: partial transfer-messenger RNA
Rfam family: transfer-messenger RNA
About the family: Bacterial tmRNA, also known as 10Sa RNA or SsrA, is named for its dual tRNA and mRNA-like properties.
Source: RNAcentral